UGAAGAAGGACUAUGGCUUCUCUUGGUGGUAGAAAAGUUUCGCUAAAGACUCUUCUAAUACAGAAGAGGAAGAAGAAGAAGAAAAUCGGUAUGUGUUGAUUCGGAAAUAUAACACCCACCAUCUCUACAUCCCAGGUGAAGUGGAAGGGGUAUGGUUCUGAUUAGGAUUCAUGGGAUCCCUCUUCCGUCUUUCACAGAGAUUAUAAUGAAGACGCUUGUCAAAGUCUUCGAUACAACCACCCUGAGACCAGAUUCAGGAAUGAAUGCGCAGAUGACUUCUUUUUGUUGCAGGAAUGGCAGCAACUUCACAAUCAGUAUAUCGAGAGAUUGUCCCGAGAUGAUGUCCAAGGCAGUGAAGAUAUUGGUCAGAUUUUGCCUGACGAACUUGUAGUUGAAGUACUUUGCUAUACAACUAAGUUUAGGUGAAGUGGAAGGGGUAUGUACCAUAUGGUUCUGAUUCAUGGGAUUCUUCAUA
Papaver somniferum (opium poppy) is the source of this 475-nucleotide long non-coding RNA. RefSeq lists it as uncharacterized. Lineage: Eukaryota; Viridiplantae; Streptophyta; Magnoliopsida; Ranunculales; Papaveraceae. The record is from RefSeq and is a predicted model, not a curated record. The transcript has 4 exons.